Molecule: long non-coding RNA, 1388 nt
Filed under: Pogona vitticeps (central bearded dragon)
Lineage: Eukaryota; Metazoa; Chordata; Lepidosauria; Squamata; Agamidae
Description: lncRNA (ENSPVIG00000020585.1)
Source: RNAcentral
ACUGAAAUCUUGUUCAUAUAAGUUAUGCUGCAUAAGGAUGAAAAUAUCAUUUGUGGCAAUUUUUCAGAACUUAAAUGUUUGCUUCAUGUGUCCCUAGGCACCCAUGUCUCCUGUGUAAUCCUUUCAUCAUUGGAAAGCUGGGAGCUGUGGGAUGGGAGGAGGAAGUCUUUAACUACUGAAAAUUGCAACAGCCAGAAUGAGCCAUGAGUGCCUCAGAAUAGAAUUAAACAUUUCCUCUUUAAUUUUCAAAACAAUGUCCCAGCUUGAUGACAUUGGCUUUAUGUAGAGAAAUCUGUAAACAGGAUUUCGGCCCAUAUUUUCAGUUGCAUGGGGUUCUAGAUCAUUGAUACUUUGAUGCUAACUGGUCGAUUCCGUUCUAUUAGCUGAAAUCUGUCUCACGUAAAUCUGACCUAUGAGACUGUUUGGUCUGUAGACUGUUGUCACAGCAGAACUGGAGUGCACUAUAGAAGUGUACCAAAAUCAUGAGAGUUGUAAAAUAAAGUCUAUCAUAGUAUCGGUAUCUAUCACAGUACCAGUGGGUCCAGUUGUAUACCGUAUUUUUCCAUGUAAUUAAAGGAAAAAUUGAGGGUUGUUCUAUACUCGGAAGGAAGGGGGAGGGAUCUCUGUUUCUCCCUCCACGUUUUGCAAAGAAAGUGCAGGGGGAAAGCGAUUUCUGCUUUCCCCCUACGUUUUCAUUUGCAACAUUUCUUGCAAAGAAAGAAAUUUUGAUUUAGAAAAGUGAGGGAGGUUUAUACCUGGGGGUGUCUUAUACAUGGGAAAAUACAGCAAAUGUUUGUUGUUUCCUACCUCAGGCACUGGAAAGGGCUUCCACGUCCCACAUUGACUUAGAUUUUCUAGCCUCACCGGGGCAGAUGAGCUAUCCAGAUUCCCCUGGCCUCGAGCGUUCAGUCUUUCGUGGGAGAACUGUCAAGCCAUCUUCGCAGCGCUUCAUGCGGCAGCAGUCUCCCGUAGCAUCUGGCUCUGUAAGAUCACCGUACCCAUUUACUCCACCCCGCAGGACACGUCGCGCCUUUGGCCUUAAUCAGGUGAAGUGCUGUGUAAUGUGUAGUUUUGGCAUUCUGCUGACAAGAGGCCUCUUCUUCCCCUUCUUCUUAAAAAAACCCCACAAACAUUUAGAUUCCAUGGCUUUGCUUUGGUUUGGCUUUUUGCUCGUAGGUCCCUCGUAUUCUCUCAAGGGCGUGGAGGAAGAUUUUUUUUUGUCCUGUUUUGAGGGUCCCACAGCAUGCUUUGGCCCCUCUGAACCUCUGGUAAUUUUUUUACAGAGGGCCAAAGGGGGAACUAUUGAAAUAAAAUACAACAUUUUUGUAAAAAGAAAAUUCAGAAUAGGGGGCGGUCACAAGAGCAGAGUAGGGGGCUGUUCCCUCUAA